Molecule: long non-coding RNA, 423 nt
Filed under: Olea europaea (common olive)
Lineage: Eukaryota; Viridiplantae; Streptophyta; Magnoliopsida; Lamiales; Oleaceae
Description: long non-coding RNA (OEUR_LNC000784)
Source: RNAcentral
GUACUUCCAUUUCUCCAAACGCUUCAAAUCAAAAAGCUCAAAGCCUUCUCUGGAAUACUUUCCUGCUUCUUGACUUGCUGCAGAAAGCCCGGUAAAUUUGCCAAGCUCAUCAUCUUUAACAUAUCCUUAAACAUGACAUAUUUUCUGAAGAUAUAAAUUGAAUCUUGUGCUCAAUAAUUGUGCCCCGUCUCAAUUCACAAUUAGGCCUCUUCCAACGAGGCUCCAGACACUCCUACAUGGCAGUUAACGGCAAGUGAACUUGGACCCGCACUUCAUGUCAUUCUGCCCAAGAGGCGGUUUGACCGAACCACCUGAAGGGGCCAGACCUCUAUGGAGGCAUGAACUGAUUUGCUGUAGUAAACCACAUGAAGAAUUGAACCAGCAUGGCGAGAGAUGAGGCUGCAAGAGGCUUAACAAGAUAUC